This 332-nucleotide ribosomal RNA is filed under the name Enterococcus faecium. RNAcentral's name for it is "bacterial SSU rRNA". It matches the Rfam family "Bacterial small subunit ribosomal RNA", at positions 1181 to 1514 of the family's 1533-position model. Lineage: Bacteria; Bacillati; Bacillota; Bacilli; Lactobacillales; Enterococcaceae. The record is from RNAcentral.
GACGUCAAAUCAUCAUGCCCUUUAUGACCUGGGCUACACACGUGCUACAAUGGGAAGUACAACGAGUUGCGAAGUCGCGAGGCUAAGCUAAUCUCUUAAAGCUUCUCUCAGUUCGGAUUGCAGGCUGCAACUCGCCUGCAUGAAGCCGGAAUCGCUAGUAAUCGUGGAUCAGCACGCCGCGGUGAAUACGUUCCCGGGCCUUGUACACACCGCCCGUCACACCACGAGAGUUUGUAACACCCGAAGUCGGUGAGGUAACCUUUUGGAGCCAGCCGCCUAAGGUGGGAUAGAUGAUUGGGGUGAAGUCGUAACAAGGUAGCCGUUGGAGAAGG